This 253-nucleotide ribosomal RNA is filed under the name uncultured bacterium. RNAcentral describes it as "partial 16S ribosomal RNA". It matches the Rfam family "Bacterial small subunit ribosomal RNA", at positions 524 to 776 of the family's 1533-position model. The record is from RNAcentral.
GACGAACCGUGCGAACGUUGUUCGGAUUCACUGGGCUUAAAGGGCGCGUAGGCGGGCGACCAAGUCAGGGGUGAAAUCUUUCGGCCCAACCGGAAAAGUGCCCCUGAUACUGGCCGCCUCGAGGGGGGUAGGGGCAUGCGGAACUUCCGGUGGAGCGGUGAAAUGCGUAGAUAUCGGAAGGAACGCCGGUGGCGAAAGCGGCGUGCUGGACCCCUUCUGACGCUGAGGCGCGAAAGCCAGGGGAGCAAACAGG